This is a long non-coding RNA of Mesocricetus auratus (golden hamster), 814 nucleotides long. RefSeq lists it as uncharacterized. Lineage: Eukaryota; Metazoa; Chordata; Mammalia; Rodentia; Cricetidae. The record is from RefSeq and is a predicted model, not a curated record. The transcript is spliced from 2 exons.
AGUGAACACAGACACAUUGUGUAUUCUAGAGAAGUGUCACAGACUGGCCCAGGACCUGAGACCCAACAAUGGCAGAGUCACUCAGGAGGGCCUCCAACUACAGUUCCAAGCAAGGCAGCACAUGGGUUGCAGAUCAGUCGCCUCCUGAGAACACUCAGCAUUUUGCUCACAGCAACAGACCACUCUGUUUUCACAGGAUUCUGAGCCAGCCAGGGAAACACCGGGAGACACCAAGGUUGGAGCCUCACUCUCAUUCCUGCAGAGCCUGGCUUGUCCCUUUGGGGUCUCCCUGGAAUCAGGUGCUAAGAGGAGAUAGCAGAGCCUGUAGGAGGUGGUCUCCAGCCUACAGGUGCUAAGGGGAGAUAGUGGAACCUGUAGGAGGUGGACCCCAGCGAAAAGAAGUUAAAUUGGGGGAUGCUGUACUUGAUGGAUAUUGGACACCCAACUACCCUCUUUCUCUGUGCUUUCCUGGUUCCCAUGGAAUGGUGGAAAGACUCCCUUCACCACAUGAUCUGCCAGAAAGUGCUGCCUCACCAGAGGUAACAAUGCCAACUGACCACAGGCUGAAACCUCAAAUCACCAGCCAAAUAACCUUUCCUCUUUUUAAUUUUUCUCAAGCAUUUGUCACCAUAUUGGAAAGCAGAUCAGAAACUGUGCUGGUGACUUUGUUAUCUUGGACCAUUUCAGUUAGAUAAUUUUAGUUCUAGGAAAUGCAUUGUGUUUGGUGAUAUGCUCGAGUGUGGUGAAUAUUUAGCUUGUGAAGGAAAUGGUUAUAAACUAUAAAAGCACUGUUUUUCUUUUAUCUUUGGCAAAA